This 386-nucleotide ribosomal RNA is filed under the name uncultured bacterium. Its description in RNAcentral is "bacterial SSU rRNA". It matches the Rfam family "Bacterial small subunit ribosomal RNA", at positions 28 to 416 of the family's 1533-position model. The record is from RNAcentral.
GACGAACGCUGGCGGCGUGCUUAACACAUGCAAGUCGAGCGGUAAGGCCCUUUCGGGGGUACACGAGCGGCGAACGGGUGAGUAACACGUGGGUGACCUGCCCUUAGCUCUGGGAUAAGCCUGGGAAACUGGGCCUAAUACCGGAUAUGACUCCAUAACGCAUGUUGUGGGGUGGAAAGCCUUGUGCGGCUAGGGAUGGGCCCGCGGCCUAUCAGCUUGUUGUGGGGUGAUGGCCUACCAAGGCGACGACGGGUAGCCGGCCUGAGAGGGCGACCGGCCACACUGGGACUGAGACACGGCCCAGACUCCUACGGGAGGCAGCAGUGGGGAAUCUUGCGCAAUGGGCGAAAGCCUGACGCAGCGACGCCGCGUGAGGGAUGACGGCC